RNAcentral lists this ribosomal RNA (433 nucleotides) under uncultured bacterium. RNAcentral describes it as "partial 16S ribosomal RNA". It matches the Rfam family "Bacterial small subunit ribosomal RNA", at positions 29 to 507 of the family's 1533-position model. The record is from RNAcentral.
AACGAACGCUGGCGGCAUGCCUAACACAUGCAAGUCGAACGAGACCUUCGGGUCUAGUGGCGCACGGGUGCGUAACGCGUGGGAACCUGCCCUUAGGUUCGGAAUAAUUCCCCGAAAGGGGUGCUAAUACCGGAUAAUGUCUUCGGACCAAAGAUUUAUCGCCUUUGGAUGGGCCCGCGUUGGAUUAGCUAGUUGGUAGGGUAAAAGCCUAUCAAGGCGUCGAUCCAUAGCUGGUCUGAGAGGAUGAUCAGCCACACUGGGACUGAGACACGGCCCAGACUCCUGCAGGAGGCAGGAGUGGGGGAUAUUGGACGAUGGGCGAAGGCAUGAUCCAGCUAUGCCGCGUGAGUGAUGAAGGCCUUAGGGUUGUAAAGCUCUUUUACCCGGGAUGAUAAUGACAGUACCGGAAGAAUAAGCUCCGGCUAACUCCGUG